AUCCUCGUUCGCCCACCCCGCUCAACACCAUGUGUUCAUCCAAGUCACAGCUUAGAUCCACGCCUCCUGCGUCGCACCACACCGCCAGCCAGGUGCUCCCUCUCCCUCUCAUCCGGUGCCCGGAAUGCAACGCCGGCUUCGUUGUGUGGUUUGUCUCAGGGACUGUAGAAAACCCGGGGAGGCACUUCUACAAGUGCGUAAGGCAUGGAUUCGGCGGCUGCAGAUUUUGGAAAUGGGAGAACAAGUACAUACAGUACUUCAGCGCCCGUUGGGGACACCUCAUUUCACAUGCAUCAGUCCAUCGUCAUGUAUCACUGCUUGAGGAAAAUCAAGCAUGGCUGAAGAACAUCUUCGUGCUCGGCGUCGUCAACCUGGCGGUCAUGGCCAUGAUUUGCAUGCUGAAGUUCUGGAUGUCAUUCCGGCCCCUCCCACCCGACAUGUAUCCAGCGUGCUUGAGUCAAUGUAGGUCACCGUAUGGUUGUAGCUAGCUGGUUUUCAGAGUACUACUCCUAUGUGUUUUUAUCUGCCUAGUCGACGUUUCUGUCGUUGCAUCGUGUGAUGUAAGCGCAGGGCCAAUCAAUAAUACAGACGCGCGUUUAUUUUCA
Aegilops tauschii subsp. strangulata is the source of this 605-nucleotide non-coding RNA. NCBI's taxonomy places the organism in Eukaryota, Viridiplantae, Streptophyta, Magnoliopsida, Poales, Poaceae. The record is from RefSeq and is a predicted model, not a curated record.